UUCUCAGACUGAUGGAGUGAGUGACGGAGUGGGUUGCCAACUGUAGUUGAUCCACUCAGCACAGAAUGGCUGCGGGGAAUAUAUUCAGACAUGCCCAGAGAAGUCUGCCCAGGGUGAAACAAAUACCUUUGAGGU
Molecule: long non-coding RNA, 135 nt
Organism: Camelus ferus (Wild Bactrian camel)
Lineage: Eukaryota; Metazoa; Chordata; Mammalia; Artiodactyla; Camelidae
Rfam family: Rhabdomyosarcoma 2 associated transcript conserved region 2
Source: Rfam